UCUAAAUACUGCACUGGGCAGAAUUGUGUAUCAGGCUCUCCUGUUCAUCAGUCUGAAUAGAAUUAUGGUGACAAUAAAGUCCUGACCUUUUGGUCUAAUACAGACUUUAUCCAACUGGGAUAUCACCCACAUUAGUCAAUAGAAAAUGGUGAAGAGGAGGGUGUAUAUUAAAUUCCUUGUAAGCUGAGGAGCCUAAUCCUGGUUUCAGGUUUUAUAUCUUAGGUGAGAAUCUUAGAGUUGAAUUGCUGCAUCAUAUGUCUCAAUAAUUAUCACUAUAUUCUCUUAAUACACAUCUAAAAAAAGAAGAAUUUCUGCUUCCUGCUAUCUCCUUUCAUAUAACUUGUGGCCCUAUCAUUUUCUCAGGCUGGGAAAAUAAUCUUCCCAGAAGCAGGAGGUAGCAUUAUCCUAGCUCUGUGUUAACAUUCCUCAGAGUACUACAGGCUCAUGCUCAUGUUUCCCACUCCAUGGAAUAUAUUUAUUCAACACCUUUUCUUUUUUUUUUUUCCUUGCUGCAAAAUGUACAGACAAUCCUUUCAACUGCUGAACUGCUGUAUUACAAGAGGCCCCAACCAACUGCUUUUACUCUGGCAAGCUGCUGUGCUUGCUGAGUUUCCUGCAGAGCAUGAUAAUGCAUGUAAAGCAUGGCCAGGAAAAGCCCACUGGGAAGUGCUGCAUCCGAGGAACACGCAGCGGAAUGGGUUUGGAUGUGAUGCCUGUGCUGAGCCUCUGAGCCCAGAAAGAGGCAGUCUUGAGUGUGAGUUCCUUGUGAGGAUGAGGAAAAGUAGAAUUUUACUUGCUGCAGACACCCCAGUGAUCACCCGUGGUUUUGAAGCUGCCCUGCCUUUGAACCUAUCUGUAUGAAGAGCUGGAGUUUAAGAAAUUCUAUUCUUUUGACCUCUUAGUGAAGACAACAAAGACCACUGAUGAGUUUGUCUGCAGUGAAACAUGCUGAUGGGCUCAUCUGAGAGCACGUUGGAAAGCUGAACUCCCAUCUGAAGGCCUCAAUAUUGCAGAUCCUUCCCCAGGUGUCAGGAUUUAAAUGCAGCUAAACACUGUUGGCUUUAACACCAAGUAAAUGGAAAGACUUCUGACCCCAGUCACCACCCUCAUGCUGCUAUUGGACUUGAUGUGGUCCUCACAGAAUUCUUUCUGGCAUGUCUACAGAAGCAGAGCCUGCUUUAUACCUUGCAGUUUGAAGUAGGAUUUUUUUGUUUGUUUACCUAAUUUCCACCAAGCCUAUGAGAGGAAGGAAACAUAUGGCUGCUAUAUAUAGGAAUUAUUUUUCUCCAAAUAAAGUGCAGCUACCUGUGGACUCAACAAAGCAGCUGUUUAAAGAUCACACUAAUUUUUGAACAAGGAAAACAAAACGUGAUUUCAGGAUCUUUGUGCAAGUCAGCAGCAUCUGUGUUUAAUACAGCAAUCAGGCAGCACUUUGCUUUUGCAAAAGCAUAGGAUUCAGUGUAUACCUUUGGGAUUUCAAACUAAUCAAAUUAAAGAUCAAGCCAGGGACUGAUGCUUUAAAGAUGGACGUUGAUGUGAUUUUUUUUUAAUACAAUGCUGUUAGAGUUGGGAGUGAGACACACUCCCUUGUCAUGGUCCUUUUUUUACAAAAUAAGUGACAUUGAAACAAUGUUCAGACAUUGCUGAGUAGACUCUUUCAGCAGUUUGAGGGGAUUUGUCAAACUAUUGCAUUUACCUCUCUGGCAAUCAAUCAGUAAGCUUGGAUGAUCCAAAGGACGAACUUCAGCAAUGACCACUUUUGCAACUGCAUAUUCAGAUGCAAAACUAAAUAAGUGCCAGCACACAGUAAAAAUGGAUAUGGUUUAUAUAGGAAUGGCAGAGAUAGCAUGUGCAUGCUAAUUAUUUUAAUUUUCAUGCACUUGUGCUGCAUUUUCCCAUUCCCACCCUACUGAAGAUGGUCAUAAUGCCAUUGUGGUGUAGAUGAGAAAAUGGACAAAUAAAAAGAAGAGUUGAAAUAUUCUUCAGUUACAGAAUCAAGUUUAUCAGUUUAGUAGCAGGUUUUGUAUUAAAUGUUCUUUUUAUUUGCUUGUUGCUAAACAGCAUUUCAAUAUUGUGAAAGAUUAUGAGUUGGGAAAAGCAAGGCAUUCUUUACACCCUUUCUAUACUGCUAGAACAUUACUGCAAAUAAAUCAGAGAAUUCUCUUGGCUGGUAUUUGGUUUAAGGCUUUUUCUUUCAAGUG
Molecule: long non-coding RNA, 2201 nt
Organism: Prinia subflava (tawny-flanked prinia)
Lineage: Eukaryota; Metazoa; Chordata; Aves; Passeriformes; Cisticolidae
Exons: 3
Source: RefSeq, a predicted model, not a curated record